UAAACGGCGGCCGUAACUAUAACGGUCCUAAGGUAGCGAAAUUCCUUGUCGGGUAAGUUCCGACCUGCACGAAUGGCGUAACGAUUUCCCCACUGUCUCAACCAGAGACUCAGCGAAACUGUAGUACCGGUGAAGAUGCCGGUUACCCGCAACAAGACAGAAAGACCCCGUGAACCUUUACUACAGCUUGGCAUUGGUUUUUGAGGUAACAUGUGUAGGAUAGGUGGGAGACUUUGAAGUGGGCACGCCAGUGUUCAUGGAGUCACCCUUGAAAUACCACCCUUGUUAUCUUAGGAAUCUAACUGCGGUCCGUAAUCCGGAUCCAGGACAUUGUCUGGUGGGUAGUUUGACUGGGGCGGUCGCCUCCUAAAGAGUAACGGAGGCGCGCGAUGGUUCCCUCCGGCUGAUUGGAAACCAGCCUAAGAGUGUAAAGGCAUAAGGGAGCUUGACUGCGAGACAGACAUGUCGAGCAGGUACGAAAGUAGGUCUUAGUGAUCCGGCGAUUCCGCAUGGAAGGGUCGUCGCUCAACGGAUAAAAGGUACUCCGGGGAUAACAGGCUUAUCUCCCCCAAGAGUCCAUAUCGACGGGGAGGUUUGGCACCUCGAUGUCGGCUCAUCACAUCCUGGGGCUGAAGCAGGUCCCAAGGGUUUGGCUGUUCGCCAAUUAAAGUGGUACGUGAGCUGGGUUUAAAACGUCGUGAGACAGUUUGGUCCUUAUCUGUUGCGGGCGCAGGAUAUUUGAGGAGAUCUUUCCCUAGUACGAGAGGACCGGGAUGGACGAACCUAUGGUCGACCAGUUGUUCCGCCAGGGGCAUUGCUGGGUAGCUACGUUCGGAAGGGAUAACCGCUAAAAGCAUCUAAGCGGGAAGCCCACUCCAAGAUAAGAUAUCCCAUGGCUUAGUCGCCAUCUGAAGGCUCGUGGUAGACCACCACGUUGAUAGGUCGGGUGUGGAAGCGCAGUAAUGCGUGGAGCUUACCGAUACUAAUACGCCGUGAGGCUUAUCCAUAU
Molecule: ribosomal RNA, 1009 nt
Filed under: Roseovarius sp.
Lineage: Bacteria; Pseudomonadati; Pseudomonadota; Alphaproteobacteria; Rhodobacterales; Roseobacteraceae
Description: bacterial LSU rRNA
Rfam family: Bacterial large subunit ribosomal RNA
Source: RNAcentral